AGAGUUUGAUCCUGGCUCAGGAUGAACGCUGGCGGCGUGCUUAACACAUGCAAGUCGAACGAACCUUCGGGUUAGUGGCGGACGGGUGAGUAACGCGUGAGAAUCUGCCCUCAGGAGGGGGAUAACGGCUGGAAACGGCCGCUAAUACCCCAUAUGCCGCGAGGUGAGAUGAAUUUCGCCUGAGGAUGAGCUCGCGUCUGAUUAGCUAGUUGGUGGGGUAAGAGCUACCAAGGCAUCGAUCAGUAGCUGGUCUGAGAGGAUGAUCAGCCACACUGGGACUGAGACACGGCCCAGACUCCUACGGGAGGCAGCAGUGGGGAAUUUUCCGCAAUGGGCGAAAGCCUGACGGAGCAACGCCGCGUGAGGGAUGAAGGCCUCUGGGCUGUAAACCUCUUUUAUCAAGGAAGAAGAUCUGACGGUACUUGAUGAAUAAGCCACGGCUAAUUCCGUGCCAGCAGCCGCGGUAAUACGGGAGUGGCAAGCUUAUCCGGAAUUAUUGGGCGUAAAGCGUCCGCAGGCGGUCUUUUAAGUCUGUUGUUAAAGCGUGGAGCUUAACUCCAUUUCAGCAAUGGAAACUGGAAGACUAGAGUGUGGUAGGGGCAGAGGGAAUUCCCGGUGUAGCGGUGAAAUGCGUAGAUACCGGGAAGAACACCAGUGGCGAAGGCGCUCUGCUGGGCCAUAACUGACGCUCAUGGACGAAAGCCAGGGGAGCGAAAGGGAUUAGAUACCCCUGUAGUCCCGCCGUAAACGAUGAACACUAGGUGUCGGGGGAAUCGACCCCCUCGGUGUCGUAGCCAACGCGUUAAGUGUUCCGCCUGGGGAGUACGCACGCAAGUGUGAAACUCAAAGGAAUUGACGGGGGCCCGCACAAGCGGUGGAGUAUGUGGUUUAAUUCGAUGCAACGCGAAGAACCUUACCAGGGUUUGACAUCCUGCGAAUCUCUUGGAAACGAGAGAGUGCCUUCGGGAACGCAGUGACAGGUGGUGCAUGGCUGUCGUCGCUCGUGUCGUGAGAUGUUGGGUUAAGUCCCGCAACGAGCGCAACCCACGUCGUUAGUUGCCAGCAUUCAGUUGGGCACUCUAGCGAGACCGCCGGUGAUAAACCGGAGGAAGGUGUGGAUGACGUCAAGUCAUCAUGCCCCUUACAUCCUGGGCUACACACGUACUACAAUGCUACGGACAAAGGGCAGCAAACUCGCGAGAGCUAGCAAAUCCCAUAAACCGUGGCUCAGUUCAGAUCGUAGGCUGCAACUCGCCUCGUGAAGGAGGAAUCGCUAGUAAUCGCAGGUCAGCAUACUGCGGUGAAUACGUUCCCGGGCCUUGUACACACCGCCCGUCACACCAUGGAAGUUGGCCACGCCCGAAGCCGUUACUCCAACCCUUGUGGAGGAGGACGUCGAAGGUGGGGCUGAUGACUGGGGUGAAGUCGUAACAAGGUAACC
RNAcentral lists this ribosomal RNA (1441 nucleotides) under bacterium WHC1-5. RNAcentral's name for it is "bacterial SSU rRNA". It matches the Rfam family "Bacterial small subunit ribosomal RNA". The record is from RNAcentral.